RNAcentral lists this ribosomal RNA (460 nucleotides) under uncultured bacterium. RNAcentral's name for it is "partial 16S ribosomal RNA". It matches the Rfam family "Bacterial small subunit ribosomal RNA", at positions 338 to 795 of the family's 1533-position model. The record is from RNAcentral.
CCUACGGGAGGCAGCAGUGAGGAAUAUUGGUCAAUGGACGGAAGUCUGAACCAGCCAUGCCGCGUGCGGGAAGAAGGUUCAGAGAGUCGUAAACCUCUUUUGUCAGGGGACAAACACUGAUACGCGUAUCCGGCUGAAAGUAUCUGACGAAUAAGCAUCGGCUAACUCCGUGCCAGCAGCCGCGGUAAUACGGAGGAUUCAAGCGUUAUCCGGAUUUAUUGGGUUUAAAGGGUGCGUAGGCGGUCGGUUAAGUUAGAGGUGAAAUCCCGAGGCUCAACUUCGGACUUGCCUCUGAUACUGUUCGUCUCGAGAGUAGUUGCGGUAGGCGGAAUGUAUGGUGUAGCGGUGAAAUGCUUAGAGAUCAUGCAGAACACCGAUUGCGAAGGCAGCUUGCCGGGCUAAUUCUGACGUUGAGGCACGAAAGCGUGGGGAGCGAACAGGAUUAGAUACCCCAGUAGUC